UUUCUAUGCCAGGAUACAGGAAAAAAAGAUUAUUUAUGAAAUUCAGCAUUACAUUACAUAUCCUGGUAUUACUUUGGGGAAUCAUCUAUUUUAUUCCAGAUUUCAGCAAUUUAUAGAGAUGACAAAGAAGAUAAAGGAAAGCUUUAGAUGCAAAUAGCUACAUGUGUUUAAUGAGGACAUUAGCCCCACUGUGAGAUACCAGGAGGAUUUCACACAAUCUGCCUUCAGUCUUUGGAAUCAGGAGGAACCCGAACAUGGAUUUGACAUGUAUCAGGAGAUUCUGGAUUAUAGCUCUUCUGUGGACCCAAGAAUCAGAUCAACAAAUUAUGGAAUAAUUUCUUUUCUUAUGGAUAUGCUGUGUUUGACCAAAAUAGGGGAAAGUUCUUUGAGAUCCCAUCUACUUGAGAAAACAAUAUCCCCUGAUGCAAAGGAGAAAACUGACAAGAUCAGCAAGAAUAUUACAUUUUUCAAGAAAAUUAUGUGGU
This 485-nucleotide long non-coding RNA is filed under the name Felis catus (domestic cat). Its description in RNAcentral is "lncRNA (ENSFCAG00000046891.1)". The record is from RNAcentral. Lineage: Eukaryota; Metazoa; Chordata; Mammalia; Carnivora; Felidae.